GACGAACGCUGGCGGCGUGCUUAACACAUGCAAGUCGAACGGAAAGGCCCUGCUUUUGUGGGGUGCUCGAGUGGCGCACGGGUGAGUAACACGUGAGUAACCUGCCCUUGACUUUGGGAUAACUUCUGGAAACUGGGGCUAAUACCGGAUAGGAGCUCCUGCUGCAUGGUGGGGGUUGGAAAGUUUCGGCGGUUGGGGAUGGACUCGCGGCUUAUCAGCUUGUUGGUGGGGUAGUGGCUUACCAAGGCUUUGACGGGUAGCCGGCCUGAGAGGGUGACCGGCCACAUUAGGACUGAGAUACGGCCCAGACUCCUACGGGAGGCAGCAGUGGAGAAUAUUGCACAAUGGGCGGGAGCCUGAUGCAGCAACGCCGCGUGCGGGAUGACAGCCUUCGGGUUGUAAACCGCUUUCGCCUGUGACGAAGCGUGAGUGACGGUAAUGGGUAAAGAAGCACCGGCUAACUACGUG
Molecule: ribosomal RNA, 468 nt
Filed under: uncultured bacterium
Lineage: Bacteria
Description: partial 16S ribosomal RNA
Rfam family: Bacterial small subunit ribosomal RNA
Source: RNAcentral